This 2187-nucleotide long non-coding RNA is filed under the name Triticum aestivum (bread wheat). RNAcentral describes it as "long non-coding RNA (TAES_LNC008020)". The record is from RNAcentral. Lineage: Eukaryota; Viridiplantae; Streptophyta; Magnoliopsida; Poales; Poaceae.
UACCUCCAUAAGCAAUGAACAUCAAAAUUCAGGAUGGGCAGUUUGACUACUACCCAAACCCGAUGGAUUUUCUUUUGGGCCCCCACUGGAAUUCAACCGCAUCAGAACUGUUCCUUGUAAUGUUUUAGACAUAAAAGUAAGAUCUGGUGUCCUUCUCGAAAGAAAGAAAAAGCUCAAUCCUAUGUAUCAGUUCUGGGCAUGUGGUCAUUUGACAGUAUGGCUUAUAAGCCGCUGAAUUUUAGAUGUUGCAAGGCGCUAGUAUAUCUUGAGGAAGUGGAUCAUAUAGCACUAUGCCUGUAAUUCUGCUGAUGUUUGUCUGAUAUUCGAAAUCGUUGAGCUGCAGUGUUAUUGUGCAUUUUCAUUGUUUACUCUGCUUUGAUCAUAUUUCAGAUUUGAAAGCGCGUCACUGAGUUGCACGCCUGGUUUUGUCAGUCUACAUGAUCAAGUUAUCGCCAUUAAAACAAACAUAGUAGUUUAGUUGCCCAUCCAGGAGUUGCAUUUGCAAGUUGGUGUCCAACAAACCUUGGAUUCUGAAGGGACAAGGUGACUCUGGAGUCUACACGCACUCAUUUUCCAAGGUCGUGAACUUAGUGAUGAGACUAUUGAUUCUUGAGAGAAGUCUUACAUAAAACACGUGCUGUGCAUUGUUGUUCCAAGACUUGCUAUUGUUGCAUUAAGGCCAACUGCAGCUCGGUCAAAAGACAUUUCAUUGCACAUUCUGAAUUCCUGAUGUAAACAGAAAAUUAACGCCGAUGGAAUUGAAGACUAGCUUGACAAUGAUAUUCAACAUGCUGGUUUGAGGUUUUGACUCCUAAACUCUGCCUGCAGCUUGAGAUAAUGAUUAUGAGGACAAUAGUUCUCAAACACAUCUUCAUAAUUGGCUGUCUCCCACCCUCCUCGAUGAAUGAUGUAGCACCCUAAAACCUUUAGAUUCACGACCCUCGUUGAGUUUUGUUGCAUGACUUCCCAAAAGUAAGACCUUAGUCUUAGAGAAAAAGCAUGUUUCUGGAGUUCCAUGUAGCCAAAAGGAAAUGUUCUAUUUUGAUGGGAGCUUUUAGGCACUUGGACUUUAGUUACUGGAUCCAAAGGAAGCUUAAUAUGAAUCUUUGGCCACUUAAGAAAGUUUGACUUAUGUUUUUACGGUUUAACUGCAAUCAGAAUUUAUUUGAUGCUUCUAGAACAUAAGAUAGGUUUAUUUAAUUGACCAGUUGAUAUCAUGUCACUCUAAUGACUGAGUAGUUUCGUACUCCAUUUUUUAGAAGAUAGAUAGUGCCAUCAUGGUGACAUAUAAGGGCUUUGGUCUUAUAGAUCAUAAUUUGUUUCUCCAUAUAUGUUACUUGUGUGAGUCAAGAGGAUAUUUUGGUACAGCAUUUUGUUCAUCUUUAAAGUUAUUUACGCCCAAUAGGCUACAUCCUUUUUAUUGAAAAAAAAUCUUGGUGACUGAAAAAUAUGCAAGUACAUUAUUAAAAGUAAAAGUCACGAUUUCGGUAUGUCCAUAUUCCUCUGCCACUUGCCUUUGAAAAUCUUCUUUCACCCUGGCAAUGAGGCAUGUAUGCUUGAUGCCAAAAGUUUGCAUUGCAUUUCUUAGAAUAAGAAUUUCUGUACUGGAAAAUGUUGAACUUCUGCAUAUCCUCAUCCUGCUGUCUGUUUCAGGUUGCUUAGGAAUAGGCUCUGCAAGAGAGAACUUUGGUCUUCAGUUUCAAAGACACUACGCUUUCCUGCGAUACCUCACGCAAAACCAUCAGGCCUUCUUGUCUCUUAGUUUUCAGGACCUAACAAUUUGUGGAUCAUCAUUGUUAAUAAGCUCAUGGGCUGGGGGAGCCACGAAACAGACAUCCGAGGGAUGAAAACUGGUUGAGAUUGUCGGUGUGUAUAUUAUAUUAUUGUGUUGCAUGUAUAAGUGAAUCUCAUCACCAAGUAGUGGUGAUGAAAUGUCACCUGUGUGGCUGUGUACUCGAAAGUGGAAAUGCAGUUCCAGAUUUCAUUUGAAAUGUCUGCCUUCAUAUGUGCAAAUAACAAGGUCUCGCUGUUGCUACUUGAUGAGUCACAGCACACCUUGGUUCUCUGAAAGCACACUGGUAUUUAGGAGUUAUAACUUAUAAGACAUCCUUUAAUAGUACAGGGAAGGAAAUACUCCCUCAGUAAGUACACAUAACUAAUCUGUGGUUGCUCUCAGCUAUAUUGGAA